GGUAACCUCGCGGUGCUUCGUCACCCGUGCGGGCGUCUGGGGCCUCCUCACAGCAGGUAACCUCGCGGUGCUUCGUCACCCGUGAGGGCAUCUCGGGCCUCCUCACAGCAGGUAACCUCGCGGUGCUUCAUCACGCGUGAGCACAUCUCAGGGCCUCCUCACAGCACAGGACGUUCGCGUUCGGGAGCUUCCCAGCGCUCACUGAAAGUUCAGGAACUUUUCCUACGUCGUCGAAUACGCAGUGGCCCUCCGACACGUGUUCUGCCUCUGCUUGUCUUGCCGUGGGGGCCGGAACGCCUGCCUGGAACCGAGCGAGCCCGUGGAAGAAUGGCGGUCCCCUAACUGGCGCCCCUGAGUGGGAAGAUCCCGGCGAGUGAUGCAGAGCGGCCUGCGCCUGCGGGAGGCGUGGGGAGCCGGACUCCGGCCCGGCCGGUGCCUGUCCCCUGUGCGGGGCGGAGGAUAAGGGGAAACCCGGAUCGGGAAGCGCGGGAAGGCUCUACUUCGGCAACACGGGGCCCCAGGAGGGGUGAUCUUGCCCGGCCGUCAGUGGUGGAGCGCCUCCGAGCCGGUGGGCAGAGGCGGGGGCGAGGCCGACGUCGGAUGAGGGCCAGGGAGCCCGGGCUGAGAGCCGCUGGGCGGCUCAGAAGGCAGUGCUGCUCUAGAACGCAAGUUCUGUGAGUGCAGGGGCUGUGUCAUUUGUUUCUUUAACACCUUUGGCCUAGAGCAGUGCCAAGCACUUGCUAGACUGUGAGGUUUCCAAGGGCAAGAAUAUUCUUUGGAUCCCGAGAAGGGGGAGCAGACACGCUACCUAGCCCUUAGUCAGCACUCAAUGGGGCAGUUGGAGCUCAGCAAGAAUAAAUGACUUGUUCAACAAAGGUCACAUGCUAAUUACAGGCAGAAGAGUCUGCAUGGUUAAAAUAUGUGUCCUACUUCUGGAAGGUCUUCAUGGCACUUCCCAGUCUAACCCACCCUAAACUGUGGAUUUCCUGAUUGCUUAGUUUGAAAGAAGACGAAAGGGGGGCCCAACGGUGUGAGUGCAGCAAAGUGUGCCUGGCCUCUUUCCGGCGCUUCACUUUGGGACCCCGGAGCUCAGUCCGAGAGAUGCUGUGGGUCAGGGCUCCAUGAGCUGGCGCGGGUGGUGCACCCCCUGGCUCCCAGCUGUUUCAUGCAUCCAGGAGCUAUGUGCGGGCGGACUCUGGCUGUGACUCCAGGCCU
RNAcentral lists this long non-coding RNA (1215 nucleotides) under Equus asinus (donkey). RNAcentral describes it as "lncRNA (ENSEASG00005034992.1)". The record is from RNAcentral. Lineage: Eukaryota; Metazoa; Chordata; Mammalia; Perissodactyla; Equidae.